This 561-nucleotide ribosomal RNA is filed under the name uncultured Ascomycota. RNAcentral describes it as "SSU rRNA". It matches the Rfam family "Eukaryotic small subunit ribosomal RNA", at positions 1 to 565 of the family's 1831-position model. The record is from RNAcentral. Lineage: Eukaryota; Fungi; Ascomycota.
AAACGAAUUCGCCCUUCCCAGUAGUCAUAUGCUUGUCUCAAAGAUUAAGCCAUGCAUGUCUAAGUAUAAGCAAUUAUACCGUGAAACUGCGAAUGGCUCAUUAAAUCAGUUAUCGUUUAUUCGAUAAUACCUUACUACUUGGAUAACCGUGGUAAUUCUAGAGCUAAUACAUGCUGAAAAUCCCGACUUCGGAAGGGAUGUGUUUAUUAGAUAAAAAACCAAUGCCCUUCGGGGCUCUUUGGUGAUUCAUGAUAACUUUACGGAUCGCAUAGCCUUGCGCUGGCGACGGUUCAUUCAAAUUUCUGCCCUAUCAACUUUCGAUGGUAAGGUAUUGGCUUACCAUGGUUUCAACGGGUAACGGGGAAUUAGGGUUCGAUUCCGGAGAGGGAGCCUGAGAAACGGCUACCACAUCCAAGGAAGGCAGCAGGCGCGCAAAUUACCCAAUCCCGACACGGGGAGGUAGUGACAAUAAAUACUGAUACAGGGCUCUUUUGGGUCUUGUAAUUGGAAUGAGUACAAUUUAAACCUCUUAACGAGGAACAAUUGGAGGGCAAGUCUGGU